UACAGAGGGUGCGAGCGUUAAUCGGAAUUACUGGGCGUAAAGGGCGCGUAGGUGGGUAAUUAAGUUGGAUGUAAAAGCCCUGGGCUUAACCUAGGAAUGUCAUCCAAGACUGGGUACCUAGAGUACAGUAGAGGGAAGUGGAAUUUCCGGUGUAGCGGUGAAAUGCGUAGAUAUCGGAAGGAACAUCAGUGGCGAAGGCGACUUUCUGGACUGAUACUGACACUGAGGCGCGAAAGCGUGGGGAGCAAACAGG
RNAcentral lists this ribosomal RNA (253 nucleotides) under uncultured bacterium. RNAcentral describes it as "partial 16S ribosomal RNA". It matches the Rfam family "Bacterial small subunit ribosomal RNA", at positions 524 to 776 of the family's 1533-position model. The record is from RNAcentral.